AGGAAAGAGGAUGAAGGAAAAAUAAAAAGACAGCAAGAUAAUAAAUAUGGAUUCAGCUGUUUUUGGAGAGGACGAUGUGGAGGUGUCCACUCGACGUCACAGCGAGACCGGAACAAGAAACCAGAAAACCCUCGUCCCAAACCUCGACGAGCAGGAUCCAUGUCUGUUAUUCUGCUACACUGAAGCUAAAAAGAGCUGUUGAUCAGAGGAAGAAAGACGAGGACAUGAAGACCUGCACUAACUGUCUCUUUAAUGAAGAUGCUGUGGUUAUUAUAAAGUAGUUACUGCUCCUUCUCAUUCGUUUAAAAACAAACGCUUACUGCAUGAGAUUUGCAUUGUGAAUAAAAAGUUAAUUUGUCUGUAUAUAUAGUGUGCUAAAAUGUAAGUAGGGCCAAUCGUAUAUGACAAAAUAUCACCCCAUGCCUUUUGUGGUUGGCCUAUAUAAUUAAAAACUGUA
Long non-coding RNA from Plectropomus leopardus (leopard coralgrouper), 457 nucleotides. RefSeq lists it as uncharacterized. NCBI's taxonomy places the organism in Eukaryota, Metazoa, Chordata, Actinopteri, Perciformes, Serranidae. The record is from RefSeq and is a predicted model, not a curated record.